Long non-coding RNA from Tupaia belangeri chinensis (Chinese tree shrew), 2331 nucleotides. RefSeq lists it as uncharacterized. The record is from RefSeq and is a predicted model, not a curated record. NCBI's taxonomy places the organism in Eukaryota, Metazoa, Chordata, Mammalia, Scandentia, Tupaiidae. The transcript is spliced from 3 exons.
GCGUUCCAGAAAGUGUCAGCUCAUUUUCUGCUCUCUCUCCAUACAGAGCAACAUCCUUUUGCGAUUUCCCCCUCUUUCUUCUCUCCUUUUUGAGGAGGCCAGGCAGAGUUUCGAAAGCUUCCUGUGAACUAUGUAAUCGGGCACAUUUUCAAAAGCAAUGCCUUAUUUCUUGUGAAGAGCGUGUUAUUCUUUCCCUCCUGUCAGCCCUCGGAAGCAAUGGGCUUGCUUUGCAGUCUUCGUGUGCAGGAUUCCAAGUCUGCUUCUCAAAGGCCCCUCCGUGCGUCCGCCGGUUCCUUCCUGCUGGCCUCACCAGUUUUAUUCCAUCCCACUCCGAUCCGAGCGGGGCCAAACUGGCCUCGUUCCUCCUUUCAUUCUUGUCUUCUCUUGCAAGCUUUUUCUACUUUCUAUGCAAAAAGCAAAGUGCAGAAGGCCGGGCGUUGCCAUGGCAGUGGUGUUGCUGUGGGCCUCUAGUGGGUUUGAGCUCUAAACUUUGAGAAAAAGAAUGGCCUCAAAGAAGUUGGAGGGAGAGCAAGAGAAAGAGAGAAAAAUCAAACAGGACAACAGCCUCGGAGGGGGAGAGUGCGGGGAAAGCAGGGCAAAGCCCCGACAUGCAUUUGCGGUGACAUCACUGCCUUUCCCACCGGGCCAUUGACUGGGCGGCCAGCGUCCAUUCAGCGCCCGCCCGGGGCCGGCUCUCCAGGCCCCGGGAGCCAUGGCUCUGGUCCUGAAUACCGUUUUUGUUGGGAAACAGUGGCCCGUUUCUGAAGGCCGCAUAAAUGGCUGAGUGAUUCACGGCCGUUGCCAGGAAGUCUGAGGCACUUGUGAGCUCACAAUGGUGAACUUUAUCUCCCGGCCCAUGCGGGAAGUUCCAGCUGCAGGCCCUGAAUUCUAAUAAGGGCUUCACCCGUGCUCUGAGGUUGUGGUUCUUUAAAAUGAGAAGCCUCAGCAAAUGCCACUCCAGAAGGAAGUCUCAGAGCGGUGAUGAAGACCUUUGACUCUCUCCGACCCCUCCGCCAGUGAUCACGAUGAGCUGCCCUUUGCUGCAGCACCCAGACCCUGGGCUUCUCCAAAUCCUGCCAUUCACGGAUCUACAAAGAAUCUCCAUGGGAAGGCGCAUCACCUCUCCUGAGAAGUAGCUGCAAGCUGGGUCAGUCCUCCACAAAGCUGCUGUGGCCAGGGGACCUUUUGCAAGUGAGCCCAGCAGGACAAGGACAGCAGUCACAAGCCAUUAUCUUCAGCCACGUCCACACCCUCAAAAACGCCGUGAGCAAAGAGAGCCAAUUUGAAACAAGAGACCUGAUGUCACUGUGGGGUGUGGAGGAUGUUGUGUUCAUACCAAACAAAAUCACCUCCCUGCUGCUCGUUCGUCGUGCCCCCGAAGCCCUCAGACUUGGUGACAUCGUGCUAGAGUGACAAUAAUGAGCGGAAGUUGAGACAUUUCCCCAUCAGUUUUGUUUUGUUUUCUCUCUUUCCUGCUCAUUUCCUCUCCCCCAUUUUUAAAGCUCUAGCUGGCUGGCUGUCGUGAGCAGCCAACUGGAGGCUUUCUGGGGUGAUCAGGGCAAGUCAGAACCCAAGGGGCUCCGCCGCAGGAGCCGACUUCAUCAGUGAAGCCUCCAGAUGCCGCACAGCGCACCAUUCCAAUGGACACCGGGUAUGAAGAGAGCUGCCUGUGGGUAACAGAAGCACAGAACAGAAUGAGAGAGUGAUAGUUCUCAGAAUCACACUGAGAGCUCCACAGGAAGGCUAGGAAACACCGUGCAGAUGAAAGAGAAGCAGGAAGAGGGUUUUGGCCAGAGCCAGUGCAAAACAAUUAAGAGUGAAAAGACUAAGAACAGGCCUGCUGGUGAAGAACUGGGGCAGAUUUGGCUGUGGGGCAGCAGGCCGUGCUUGUCCAAAACCACCGGCCAACCCACACAGCGUGCCCAGGGCCCGAGGCCCACAAACUCUGCUGGCCAUCAGCAUUUGGGGUGGUUGGUUCAUUUUCAGUCUAUCUCUGCAGUCUUCUUCAGAAACAGAACUUAAUUUUAAACCCAGGUACUUUAUCCUUGGUUUUAAUACUUAAUUUCUACCAGAUUACAUUGCUGCUUUGAAAUAGUCUGUGAGAAUUUCAAGUGAAGUCGUCACUUUUGAGAGGAACACAAAUGAAGCCACUAGAUUGACCUAACGGAAUGCAAGGGUAACCAGAACAAAGGGCAUUAUUUUGUGAAUUUUGACACUCUCUUUUGUUACAUUCCUCUGUUGGCCAGCUGAACACACUGGGUAUGUAUUUAUAUUUCUAACAUUCUUAGGUUUCUAUAUGCGUAUUAACUUUUUUUUUCUUUUUUGGAGAGG